RNAcentral lists this ribosomal RNA (253 nucleotides) under uncultured bacterium. Its description in RNAcentral is "partial 16S ribosomal RNA". It matches the Rfam family "Bacterial small subunit ribosomal RNA", at positions 524 to 776 of the family's 1533-position model. The record is from RNAcentral.
UACGGAGGGUGCAAACGUUGCUCGGAAUCACUGGGCGUAAAGCGCACGUAGGCGGCUCGAAAAGUCGGAUGUGAAAGCCCUGGGCUCAACCUAGGAAGUGCAUUCGAAACUGCCGAGCUUGGGUACGGGAGAGGGUUGCGGAAUUCCCGGUGUAGAGGUGAAAUUCGUAGAUAUCGGGAGGAACACCAGUGGCGAAGGCGGCAGCCUGGACCGAUACUGACGCUGAGGUGCGAAAGCGUGGGGAGCAAACAGG